Molecule: transfer RNA, 75 nt
Filed under: Candidatus Magasanikiibacteriota bacterium
Lineage: Bacteria; Candidatus Magasanikiibacteriota
Description: Candidatus Magasanikbacteria bacterium tRNA-His
Rfam family: tRNA
About the family: Transfer RNA (tRNA) molecules are approximately 80 nucleotides in length. Their secondary structure includes four short double-helical elements and three loops (D, anti-codon, and T loops).
Source: RNAcentral
GUGCCCAUAGUGAAAUGGUUAUCACGCGACUCUGUGGCAGUCGCAGUACGGGUUCAAUUCCCGUUGGGCACCCCA